Molecule: ribosomal RNA, 689 nt
Filed under: uncultured archaeon
Lineage: Archaea
Description: bacterial SSU rRNA
Rfam family: Archaeal small subunit ribosomal RNA
Source: RNAcentral
UUCCGGUUGAUCCCGCCGGACCUGACUGCUAUCGGAUUGAUACUAAGCCAUGCGAGUCUUUGUAGUAAUACAAGGCAGACGGCUCAGUAACGCGUAGUCAACCUACCCUAUGGACGGGAAUAAUCUCGGGAAACUGAGCAUAAUACCCGGCGUACCACCAUUCCUGGAAUGGUUGGUGGUUAAAAUGAUUCGUCGCCGUAGGAUGGGACUGCGACCUAUCAGCUUGUUGGUGAGGUAAAGGCCCACCAAGGCGAUUACAGGUACGGGCUCUGAGAGGAGAAGCCCGGAGAUGGGUACUGAGACACGGACCCAGGCCCUAUGGGGCGCAGCAGGCGAGAAAACUUUGCAAUGUGCGAAAGCACGACAAGGUUAAUCCGAGUGAUUUCUGCUAAAGGAAUCUUUUGCCAGUUCUAAAAAUACUAGUGAAUAAGGGGUGGGCAAGUUCUGGUGUCAGCCGCCGCGGUAAAACCAGCACCUCAAGUGGUCAGGAGGAUUAUUGGGCCUAAAGCAUCCGUAGCCUGCUCUGUAAGUUUUCGGUUAAAUCUAUAUGCUCAACGUAUAGGCUGCCGAAAAUACUGCAGUGCUAGGAAGUGGGAGAGGUAGACGGUACUUGAUAGGAAGGGGUAAAAUCCUUUGAUCUAUCGAUGACCACCUGUGGCGAAGGCGGUCUACCAGAACACGUUCGACGG